GGUCGCAUGCACAGUCGAGGUAAGGGUAUUUCAGCAUCUGCUUUGCCUUAUAAGAGAACCCCUCCAAGUUGGCUCAAGAUUUCUCCUCAGGAUGUCGAGGAUAACAUCUGCAAGUUCGCAAAGAAAGGCUUGACACCAUCUCAAAUUGGUGUCAUCCUUCGUGACUCUCAUGGGAUUGCUCAAGUGAAGAGUGUUACUGGGAGCAAGAUUUUACGGAUAUUAAAGGCGCAUGGACUUGCUCCUGAAAUACCUGAAGAUUU
RNAcentral lists this unclassified non-coding RNA (260 nucleotides) under Hevea brasiliensis (rubber tree). The record is from RNAcentral. Lineage: Eukaryota; Viridiplantae; Streptophyta; Magnoliopsida; Malpighiales; Euphorbiaceae.